Molecule: small nuclear RNA, 100 nt
Filed under: Tursiops truncatus (common bottlenose dolphin)
Lineage: Eukaryota; Metazoa; Chordata; Mammalia; Artiodactyla; Delphinidae
Source: RNAcentral
GUCACUUUGGCGACACAUAUCCUAAAAUUGGAAAGAGAGAUGAUUAGCAUGCCUCCUGCACAAGGAUGGCACACAGAUUCAUGAAGCAUUCCAUGUUUUU